RNAcentral lists this ribosomal RNA (1025 nucleotides) under Corynebacterium sp. HMSC063G05. RNAcentral describes it as "bacterial LSU rRNA". It matches the Rfam family "Bacterial large subunit ribosomal RNA", at positions 1886 to 2925 of the family's 2925-position model. The record is from RNAcentral. Lineage: Bacteria; Bacillati; Actinomycetota; Actinomycetes; Mycobacteriales; Corynebacteriaceae.
UUUGUGGGUCGAAGCGGAGAAUUUAAGCCCCAGUAAACGGCGGUGGUAACUAUAACCAUCCUAAGGUAGCGAAAUUCCUUGUCGGGUAAGUUCCGACCUGCACGAAUGGCGUAACGACUUCCCUGCUGUCUCAACCACAGACCCGGCGAAAUUGCAGUACGAGUAAAGAUGCUCGUUACGCGCGGCAGGACGAAAAGACCCCGGGACCUUCACUAUAGCUUGGUAUUGGUGUUCGGUUCGGUUUGUGUAGGAUAGGUGGGAGACUGUGAUGCCUCAACGCCAGUUGGGGUGGAGUCGUUGUUGAAAUACCACUCUGAUCGUAUUGGACAUCUCAACCUCGGCCCGUGAUCCGGGUUAGGGACAGUGCCUGGUGGGUAGUUUAACUGGGGCGGUUGCCUCCCAAAGAGUAACGGAGGCGCCCAAAGGUUCCCUCAGCCUGGUUGGCAAUCAGGUGUUGAGUGUAAGUGCACAAGGGAGCUUGACUGUGAGACUGACAGGUCGAGCAGGUAGGAAACUAGGGACUAGUGAUCCGGCACCGGCUUGUGGAAGCGGUGUCGCUCAACGGAUAAAAGGUACCCCGGGGAUAACAGGCUGAUCUUCCCCAAGAGUCCAUAUCGACGGGAUGGUUUGGCACCUCGAUGUCGGCUCGUCGCAUCCUGGGGCUGGAGUAGGUCCCAAGGGUUGGGCUGUUCGCCCAUUAAAGCGGCACGCGAGCUGGGUUUAGAACGUCGUGAGACAGUUCGGUCUCUAUCCGCCGCGCGCGUAGAAACUUGAGGAAGGCUGUCCCUAGUACGAGAGGACCGGGAUGGACGUACCUCUGGUGUGCCAGUUGUCCCGCCUGGGGCAUGGCUGGUUGGCUACGUACGGAAGGGAUAACCGCUGAAAGCAUCUAAGCGGGAAGCCUGUUCCAAGAUUAGGUUUCUUUUGAGGUCCCCUAUAGAUGAUGGGGUUGAUAGGCCGGAUCUGGAAGCAUCGUAAGGUGUGGAGGUGACCGGUACUAAUAGACCAAACAUUCAACACACAAA